CUUCCCUGCUCACAGCCUCGGUCUCCCCCCUUUUAGGGCAGGAGGCUCCAACCUUGAGAUUCCAGGGCAUCACCCUCCCUGCUCUGGGCUUCUCAGAAGCACCCCCCCCCAACCACCACCCGCAACACACACACAUCUCUGGCUGAAUCUCCCUGGGAGCAGCAGAUGACAGCAGGGCUUGUGGUGCUGCAACAGUGGCCUGGUGUGACGUGGUGAUGGUUUCCGGAGCAAGGGGCAGGAUCUCUGAAGAGCAGAGUGGACUUCCUAGGAGCUGGGGAAACCUCACAGCUCCUCCCUCCCUCACACGGCAGCUUCCAAGUUAAAAUGACAGACUGUAGAAGCUUUGCGCCCUGUAAUGCCUGAACCUGGACCCGGAGCUGUUGAAAUGAGGCUGCUCCAGAAAAGCUGUGCUCUGAGACCCCUGGGGCUGGGACACUCGGCAACUUCUUUCCAGUGGAGCCUCCAGGCCUGACCGGCCUUCCCACAGCUGGGGGAUCCUGCAGUUCCCUCCAGCUGCCGGAUAAACCUCCCAAACACAACUGUGUGAGAGAACCCUGGUUUUGGGUCUUGCUAUGUUCCUGGCCUCUGUGGUUAAGGAAUCCAGCCGGGGACUGGCGGGCGUCUCAGCUCCCCUCCCCAGUUUCUGGGGCCUCAGGUAGGAAGGCUGGACAGGCGGGAGGUGACCGGAUGCUGGGGCUGCACUCAUCCUGGGGAGGCAGUUCACCCCCACCUCGGGUCCCAGGUGGACUUGGCUCAUACUGCUGAUGGAGCGAGGGGGCACAAGUGGCCUCCCUGUGUGCCUUGGGCUUCUCAGGACGUGAGAGCCUGGCUCUGAGUGUCCUGGGAGUGGUCACACUCCCCGGCCUCACCAUGCUUUAUGAUGGAGGCAGUCACGGUUGCCUUGUCCUCUGCAGAGUCCCGAGGUGGUGCAGGGCAUCACAUGGUGAGGGGCUGAGUGUGCUGGCUCAGGUCUCUCUUCUGCCUUGUAUAAAGCCACUAAUGCCACUCUCAUCAUAACCCAUUAAUUCAUUAGUCCAUUCAUCUAUUAAGCUUCUAAUCUGUGUAUGGAUUAACCCAUUCACGAGGGCAGAACCCUCA
This 1098-nucleotide long non-coding RNA is filed under the name Homo sapiens (human). RNAcentral's name for it is "HSALNT0406337". The record is from RNAcentral. Lineage: Eukaryota; Metazoa; Chordata; Mammalia; Primates; Hominidae.